GGUAAUAACAUGGCUAUAUACAGGAAGUACCAGGUAAUAACAUGGCUAUAUACAGGGAGUACCAGGUAAUAACAUGGCUAUAUACAGGGAGUACCAGGUAAUAACAUGGCUAUAUACAGGAAGUACCAGGUAAUAACAUGGCUAUAUACAGGGAGUACCAGGUAAUAACAUGGCUAUAUACAGGGAGUACCAGGUAAUAACAUGGCUAUAUACAGGAAGGAGUACCAGGUAAUAACAUGGCUAUAUACAGGGAGUACCAGGUAGUAACAUGGCUAUAUACAGGGAGUACCAGGUAAUAACAUGGCUAUAUACAGGGAGUACCAGGUAAUAACAUGGC
RNAcentral lists this long non-coding RNA (337 nucleotides) under Salmo salar (Atlantic salmon). Its description in RNAcentral is "lncRNA (ENSSSAG00000108360.1)". The record is from RNAcentral. Lineage: Eukaryota; Metazoa; Chordata; Actinopteri; Salmoniformes; Salmonidae.